CGAGCGGCGGACGGGUGAGUAAUGGCUGGGAACCUGCCUGGUAGAGGGGGAUAACCACUGGAAACGGUGGCUAAUACCGCAUGAUGUCUACGGACCAAAGAGGGGGACCUUCGGGCCUCUCGCUACCGGAUGGGCCCAGUUGGGAUUAGCUAGUUGGUGGGGUAAAGGCUCACCAAGGCGACGAUCCCUAGCUGGUUUGAGAGGAUGAUCAGCCACACUGGAACUGAGACACGGUCCAGACUCCUACGGGAGGCAGCAGUGGGGAAUAUUGCACAAUGGGCGCAAGCCUGAUGCAGCCAUGCCGCGUGUGUGAAGAAGGCCUUCGGGUUGUAAAGCACUUUCAGCCGUGAGGAAGGCAUUGUACUUAAUACGUGCAGUGUUUGACGUUAGCGGCAGAAGAAGCACCGGCUAACUCCGUGCAAGCCG
This 426-nucleotide ribosomal RNA is filed under the name bacterium BWC17. RNAcentral's name for it is "bacterial SSU rRNA". It matches the Rfam family "Bacterial small subunit ribosomal RNA", at positions 92 to 514 of the family's 1533-position model. The record is from RNAcentral.